CUUCUGCAGACCUGAGGGCUCUGUGUUGUGGACAUACACUUGAAUAAAAGUUACAUACUGUGCCUGACUGUUCUAAAGAUACCUUUUGUUCAGAAUGUUUGGAAAAGCCAGCUUUUAAAAUGUAAAAUUUGAGAGAUACACCUUUCAAUAACUGGUGAAACUCUGAUCUCUGAAGCUGAGGUGUUACAGGAAUGGAGUAGCAAAUACUGAAGUGCAAGACUAGAUUUAAACAACUUUGCUUUAUUACUGUGUUGUUGAUAAUGAUAACUGAGGCUUGAUUUUUUUUUUUUCUCUCUUCCAGAUGAAAUAAAAAGUGAGCUGGAAAAACAAAGGUAAAUUAUUAAUUACUCUGAACAGUGUGUGAAAAGAACAAAUGGAAUGAUUUUGUGGAAGUGUAAGAGUGUUACAGCAGUGAGUUUGUGAAUAGCCAGUUCCCCACCUUUCUGCCAAGAACACGUGGCCUGGCCUGUGUGUUUCACUUACACAAUGUUUGUGGCUCUGGGUACUCAAGCCAUAACUGCCUAUGAAUUUCACCAGGAGAAAAUUGCAACAUUUCCAAAGGGUGCCAGUUUUUGGCUUCCUUUUACUGGACCCAAUAUCCUGAUAAAAAAUCAUGGGGAGCAGUGCAUAUGCCCUCUGUUUGAUAGCAUGUGCUCUUUAUUACCUAGAUCAAGAACACCAAUUGAAGUAUUACUUAAAUAAAAGUUUAUAAAAGUUUUCUAGCACUGUGCUAUGAUUGAAAAUGAGCAAAUGGGUCUCCAAAUGUGUUCCUAUCUGCUUAGUGUUCUGCUUAUGGGCUCUGUUUAAUCCAUUUUGAAUAACAUGAAUAGAUACAUCAGUUGUGUAGGAGUUUUCCAAUAUUUAACAUAGUGGGACAGUGUUGGAAUAUAAUGGGGAAAGAGUUAAAUUGAAGAAGAUACAAAAAAGAUCAGAUAGAAUAUAAAUAAAUGUAAAAUGGGUUUUGUGCAAUUUUGGAAGAAAAUUGAUCUUCGUUUGAGAAAGUAUAUGCAAGAAAGCUGCAGUACAUUUGUAUGCUGCAGUGCAUUAUUUAACUUUAAAUUUAGAAAAAGGAGAAAUCGUAGUUUGCUGUGAUAUACAUGUUUAGAAAAAUGAAUAACUCUUCUUAUCUGACCUAGAGAAGGCACUGCUGCUCCACCAAAAGCAAAUUUCAUUGAAGCAGAUAAAUAUUUCCUUCCAUUUGAGCUGGCCUGCCAGUCAAAGUCUCCACGCAUUGUCAGUACUUCCCUGGAUUGUUUACAGAAACUCAUUGCCUACGGGCACAUCACUGGCAAUGCUCCGGACAGCGGAGCUCCCGGCAAGCGCCUGAUCGACCGGAUCGUGGACACCAUCUGCAACUGCUUUCAGGGUCCUCAGACGGAUGAAGGGGUACAACUGCAGAUAAUUAAGGCUCUUCUCACUGCAGUAACAUCUCCAUAUAUAGAAAUUCAUGAAGGAACAAUUCUUCAAACUGUUAGAACCUGCUACAACAUCUAUCUGGCCAGUAAAAAUCUUAUUAACCAGACAACUGCCAAAGCUACCCUGACACAGAUGUUAAAUGUCAUUUUUACACGGAUGGAAAAUCAAGCUCUGCAGGAGUCCAGAGAAGCAGAGCGAGCGCAGAAGCCGCAGUCCCCACGGCCAGGACAGCGACAGCACGGCUGGGGAGGCAGGGCUGGCAGCGGGGGCAGCGUGCUGGCCAACGGGGAAACUGGCCAAGAGGAAACAAUUGAUGGAGGAAAGGAAAUGGUCCAAGGCAUCUUGGAAGAUGUGGUGGAGUCAGCUGUGAAAGUGGCUGAAGAAAAGCAGGUAACAGAACCUGUCAAGACUCUGCCUGCAUUAGAGACUGCAGAUACUCUUCUAUCUGGCUCUAGCAAUGAAAAUGUACAAACAAAUGGGAUUCCAGAUGAUGGGCAGUCUGUUUCCUCCACCGAUAAUCUGGAAACAGAUGUGUCUGGACAUCAGGCUGCUGCCAGGUUUUCCCAUGUUCUACAGAAGGAUGCCUUCCUUGUGUUCAGGUCGUUGUGCAAGCUCUCAAUGAAACCUCUGGGGGAAGGACCACCAGAUCCCAAGUCCCAUGAAUUGCGUUCCAAGGUUGUGUCUCUCCAGCUGCUUCUCUCAGUGCUGCAGAAUGCUGGUCUGGUUUUCAGGACACAUGAAAUGUUCAUCAAUGCAAUCAAGCAAUAUCUUUGUGUAGCAUUAUCUAAAAAUGGAGUCUCUUCUGUUCCUGAUGUGUUUGAGCUCUCUCUUGCCAUCUUCCUCACGUUGCUUUCAAAUUUUAAGACUCAUUUAAAAAUGCAGAUUGAGGUGUUCUUCAAAGAGAUCUUCCUGAAUAUUCUAGAGACUUCUUCAAGUUCCUUUGAGCACAAAUGGAUGGUGAUUCAGACUUUAACAAGAAUCUGUGCAGAUGCCCAAUGUGUAGUGGACAUUUAUGUUAACUAUGAUUGUGAUUUGAAUGCUGCUAAUAUAUUUGAACGUCUUGUGAAUGAUUUGUCCAAAAUCGCCCAGGGACGAAGUGGGCACGAGCUGGGAAUGACACCUUUACAGGAACUAAGCCUGAGGAAAAAAGGACUUGAAUGUUUGGUUUCUAUUUUAAAAUGUAUGGUAGAAUGGAGCAAAGACCUUUAUGUGAACCCCAAUCAUCAGACUAGCUUGGGUUCAUAUAAACCAUCUGAACAGGAAAUGGCUGAAGGGAAAUGCCUGGACGCCGGAGGGAGAAGGAGCAGUGUCAGUUCCUUGGACUCCACUGUAUCAUCAGGAGUUGGGAGUAUUGGUACCCAGACUGCUGUCCCAGAUGAUCCAGAGCAAUUUGAAGUCAUCAAGCAACAAAAGGAAAUAAUUGAACAUGGGAUAGAACUGUUUAAUAAAAAACCAAAGAGAGGAAUACAGUAUCUACAGGAGCAGGGAAUGCUUGGCACUACAGCAGAGGACCUGGCACAAUUCUUGCACCAAGAGGAACGCCUCUGCUCUACUCAAGUGGGGGAAUUUCUUGGGGAAAGCAGCAAGUUUAACAAGGAAGUGAUGUAUGCCUAUGUAGACCAGCUUGAUUUCUGUGGAAAAGACUUUGUCUCUGCUCUGCGGAUUUUCCUGGAAGGUUUUCGUCUGCCAGGGGAAGCCCAGAAGAUUGAUAGAUUAAUGGAGAAGUUUGCUGCUAGAUAUAUUGAAUGCAACCAAAGGCAAACACUAUUUGCUAGUGCAGACACUGCCUAUGUUUUGGCAUACUCCAUUAUAAUGCUGACUACAGACUUGCACAGUCCACAGGUAAAAAAUAAAAUGACAAAGGAGCAGUACAUUAAAAUGAAUCGAGGAAUCAAUGACAGUAAAGACCUGCCAGAAGAGUAUUUAUCCACAAUCUAUGAAGAAAUAGAAGGAAAGAAAAUUGCAAUGAAAGAGACAAAAGAAUAUGCAAUUACAACCAAGUGUAGUAAACCAAGUGUAGCUAAUGAGAAGCAGCGGAGGUUGUUGUACAACUUGGAGAUGGAGCAAAUGGCAAAGACAGCCAAAGCCCUCAUGGAGGCAGUGAGCCAUGCAAAGGCACCUUUCACCAGUGCCACUCACCUGGACCAUGUCAGACCCAUGUUCAAACUUGUGUGGACUCCACUGCUGGCAGCUUACAGUGUUGGCUUGCAGAACUGUGAUGACACAGAAGUGGCAUCCCUGUGUUUGGAAGGAAUUCGCUGUGCCAUUAGGAUAGCCUGUAUCUUUGGAAUGCAGCUUGAACGAGAUGCUUAUGUCCAGGCCCUUGCUCGUUUUUCCUUGCUGACUGCCAGUUCCAGCAUUACAGAAAUGAAACAGAAGAACAUUGAUACCAUUAAGACACUCAUUACAGUUGCUCACACAGAUGGCAACUAUCUUGGCAAUUCUUGGCAUGAGAUCUUGAAAUGCAUUAGCCAGCUGGAGCUGGCACAGCUCAUAGGAACUGGUGUGAAAACUCGGUAUUUGUCUGGCUCUGGGCGUGACAGGGAAGGCAGCAUCAAGGGCUAUGCCUCUGCAGGAGAGGACUUCAUGAGCCUGGGAUUAGGGAACCUCGUUGGGAGUGGGGCUGACAAACGGCACAUGGCGAGCAUCCAGGAGUCUGUGGGGGAGACCAGCUCCCAGAGUGUGGUGGUAGCAGUGGACAGGAUAUUCACGGGCUCCACGAGGCUGGACGGCAAUGCCAUAGUGGACUUUGUGCGCUGGCUGUGCGCCGUGUCCAUGGACGAGCUGGCGUCCCCGCACCAGCCGCGCAUGUUCAGCCUGCAGAAGAUCGUGGAGAUCUCCUAUUACAACAUGAACCGCAUCCGCCUGCAGUGGUCCAGGAUCUGGCACGUCAUUGGAGAUCACUUCAAUAAGGUUGGGUGUAACCCUAAUGAAGAUGUUGCCAUCUUUGCUGUAGACUCAUUAAGGCAGCUGUCAAUGAAAUUUCUUGAGAAGGGAGAGUUAGCCAACUUCCGCUUCCAGAAAGACUUCCUAAGGCCUUUUGAGCAUAUUAUGAAGAAAAACAGAUCUCCGACCAUUCGAGACAUGGUGAUCCGCUGUAUUGCUCAGAUGGUCAACUCCCAAGCUGGUAACAUUCGUUCAGGCUGGAAAAAUAUCUUUGCAGUCUUUCAUCAAGCAGCAUCAGACCAUGAUGGGAAUAUUGUAGAGCUGGCCUUUCAGACUACAGCACACAUAGUUACAAAUAUUUUUCAGCAGCAUUUUCCAGCAGCAAUUGACUCCUUUCAGGAUGCAGUAAAAUGCCUCUCUGAGUUUGCCUGCAAUGUUGCCUUCCCAGACACCAGCAUGGAAGCCAUCAGGCUUAUUCGCUAUUGUGCAAAAUACGUCUCUGAAAGACCACAGGUAUUAAGAGAAUACACAAGUGAUGACAUGAAUGUGGCUCCUGGGGACAGAGUGUGGGUCAGAGGAUGGUUUCCUAUUUUGUUUGAACUUUCUUGUAUCAUCAAUCGUUGCAAGUUAGAUGUUCGUACAAGAGGCUUAACAGUGAUGUUUGAAAUCAUGAAGAGUUACGGGCAUACCUUUGAAAAGCACUGGUGGCAAGACCUGUUUAGAAUUGUCUUUCGGAUUUUUGAUAAUAUGAAACUCCCUGAACAACAAACAGAGAAGUCAGAGUGGAUGACCACGACGUGCAACCACGCCCUUUAUGCCAUCUGUGACGUGUUCACACAGUUCUAUGAAGCUUUGCACGAGAUCCUCCUUCCUGACAUACUUGCACAGUUACACUGGUGUGUAAAACAAGAUAAUGAGCAGUUGGCACGAUCAGGUACAAACUGCCUAGAAAACCUGGUAAUACUCAAUGGACAGAAGUUCAGCCCUGAAGUCUGGGGGCAGACAUGCAAUUGUAUGCUAGAAAUCUUCAAAACAACUAUUCCUCAUGUCUUGCUGACAUGGAAGCCUGUAGGAAUGGAGGAAGAUUCAUCUGAAAAACACUUGGAUUUGGACCUAGAUCACCAGUCUUUAAGCAGCAUGGAUAAAAAUGCUUCUGAAAGAGGACAAAGCCAAUAUUCAAAUCCAACAGAUGAGAGCUGGAAAGGUGGUCCUUAUACCAACCAAAAACUAUUUGCUGGCCUCCUGAUCAAGUGUGUGGUACAGCUGGAGUUGAUACAGACCAUUGAUAACAUAGUGUUCUAUCCAGCAACAAGCAAGAAGGAAGAUGCUGAGCACAUGGCUGCAGCUCAGCGAGACACAUUGGAUGCAGAUAUCCACAUUGACACAGAAGACCAAGGAAUGUAUAAACAUAUGUCUUCACAUCACCUUUUUAAAUUACUGGAUUGUCUGCAAGAGUCUCACUCAUUUUCAAAAGCCUUUAAUUCAAAUUAUGAGCAGCGAACUGUGUUAUGGAGAGCAGGGUUCAAGGGUAAAUCAAAACCCAACCUCCUAAAACAAGAGACCAGCAGCCUGGCGUGCUGCCUGAGGAUCCUGUUCCGGAUGUACGUGGACGAGAGGCGGCGGGAGGCGUGGGACGCCGUGCAGAGCCGGCUGCUCAGUGUGUGCAGUGAAGCCCUGGCAUAUUUUAUUACUGUCAACUCAGAAAGCCACAGAGAAGCCUGGACCAAUCUCCUGCUGUUGCUUUUAACAAAAACGCUAAAAAUCAGUGAUGAUAAGUUCAGGGCACAUGCUUCCACCUACUACCCGUACCUGUGUGAGAUCAUGCAGUUCGACCUGAUCCCCGAGCUGCGCGCCGUGCUGCGCAAGUUCUUCCUGCGCAUCGGGCUGGUCUUCAACAUCUGCAGCACGGAGCAGCACGCACAUCUGGCAGCGACCUGCCCUCCUGCCAGCUCUCAGUGAGCCUCUCAACUGCUCCUGUACGUAAAGCUGUGUCCAGAGAUGCAUUGGAGUGGAAGGGAAAAAAUGGCACCCUGGUGUAUCGCCACCACAGGAGCAAAUGAUUCUUACAGUGGCAUUUGGGAACGAGGCAAAGAAUCCUGUUCUGUCCAUCCUACAGAAGUGUCAGCAGUUUUUUUAAAAUUAUUGCUUACAGAGUCAAUGCAGUAGGUAGUCCUAAGGAAAAUGUUUGAACCGUUAUUUUUCAGAUUUGGAAUGUGUCACUGCCUCAUGGAAUGUGUUCCCUCAUGUCCCAUCAGACACACCUGGCCCAGCUGCAUGUUCCUCUGUGUGUCACAGGUUUGAAAGCCCUACAGUCAUGUCUUGAAACAAGUCUCAAUUUUGAGGUCUUAAAUGACUUCACAUUUGCUUCAUGGGCUUUCUUUACUGUAAGGGGCAGCAUUUGUGCUCUCUCUGCACAUAGGGUAAGGAUGUUUAAUUCAUGCUUCCUUUCAGCCCUUGGUCUGAGACUGUUCUUUUCCUUACGAAAAGCUUUUGUUGUGUUUAAACCAGUUACAAACUGCUGAAGUUGGGUGUGUUACACCCAGCCAUGCCAUGCAGUGCAUGGAGGAGAAGGGGGCCUGGGAUGCCAGUGCAUUGUCAGAGGCUCCCUGUCCCCUGCUGCAGGCAUUGUCCCCAUGACAGCAAUAAUGGGGCUGUGUUCAGGGCACUCUGCACCGCUUGGUUUGCUCAGUCAGGAGGAGCCGAGCGCAGCGGCUCCAGUGCAGCGGCUCCAGUGCAGCUCAGCGCUCCUGCAGUGCUGCCUGCCAGGCGCUUCUCUCCUCUCCUGCACUCACACGGGGCUGGUUCACCGGCUGCAGGGGAGGGACCGGCCAGUGCAGGCAGCCGGAGAAAGGCACCCUUGGCUGGGUUGUGCCAGAGGGAUCUGCAGCUCCUGUGCCUGCGCUGCCACGAACACUGGGACUGCACGCGGUUUGUUUGGCACGGGUCAUUGCAGACCUCCCGAGGGAAGGGAGGAAACCCUAAAUCCUCCCUUUGGUGGUGAUUUAAAAGUCCCUUCACGCUGCUUCUGUUGUGUCUUACCGUCCAGGGAAAGGUUGUUUCUACAGCAGUUUGUUAUCCGUGUCUGGUACCUCACCUUCUAAACUGUAAACAGAACAAUCUAAGCCAAUGUCCUCUACUACAACCAGCA
This is a non-coding RNA of Sturnus vulgaris (Common starling), 7450 nucleotides long. The record is from RefSeq and is a predicted model, not a curated record. Lineage: Eukaryota; Metazoa; Chordata; Aves; Passeriformes; Sturnidae.